AACCUCCACCUUCCAGGUUCAAGUGAUUCUCCUGCCUCAGCCUCCUGAGUAGCUGGUAUUACAGGAGUAAAACAGAAAUUUAUUUCUCAUAGUUCUGGAAGUUGGGAAGUGAAGACCAAGGUGCUGGCAGAUGUGAUGUCUGAUUAAAAAGUCUUACUUAUAUGAGUAUAAAUUAUAACCAACUAGCCAGCAUUCCUAGAGAACUUUGUUUUCUUGAGAAUCUUGUUGAACUUCAAGUUAACUACAAUCAGCUGAUAUGCAUACCUAAAGAGAUUAAAUUCUUGAAGAAGCUUCAGAAGCUUUUGCUAGCCAGAAACAACAUUGGAGUUUUGCCGGAGGUGAGCAAAACAUGGAACCACAGUAUUUUGCUGUUGGAGAAGAACUCAACAUGAUGGGA
RNAcentral lists this small RNA (397 nucleotides) under Pongo abelii (Sumatran orangutan). RNAcentral describes it as "retained intron". Lineage: Eukaryota; Metazoa; Chordata; Mammalia; Primates; Hominidae. The record is from RNAcentral.